CCCAAACUGUGCUGCUGGAAGAAGCAAGAUGGGGCAACUAUUCUACGGUUCCAUUCACCAAAGCUCAGCUAUGUGUACUUAUAUGUCUCCAGAUGAUCCAAAUAUAAGAGGUAACCUUUUGAGGGAAUGGGACAAAUGUGGACCAGCACCAUGAUCCUUCUURUCCUUCCAGGAUAAUAACUACAGGUUUGUGGACAGGAUCCCGGACAACCGGCAGGACAAAGCAGACAAAGUUGUCAGAAGAAAAGUGACACAAAGAUGAAGCACAAGUCCAGAAAAUAACAUGAACAGGUGGUGUUGGCAAGGAGGCACAAACAGCUUGGAUCAACCAGGAAGUCAAAUAAAGAGAAUAAACAUAGUGUGAAAAUGUAACUUUAUAUACAUUGCAUGUAAAACGAUAACGUUCAUAAGUGUUUGACCUGAUAAACGUUGAGUAAAUUCAGAGCAUCCAGUAAGUGGUGGUCAGUCUGUGUUCAAUCCAAAGGAUCUUUUCAAGUUUUCUAGAUAAAUCUGCUCCUCCUGGAAGAAUUCCCGGUCCUGUAGACGAGAAACUUGAGUUAAUGCUGCAGACGUUCUAAAACCUUUUGAUCUUUCAUAUUUUUUGUUGUAUUAUGCUCUUCAUAUGUACAAUAAAAAGCCUAAUGGAAAAAUUGCA
Molecule: long non-coding RNA, 655 nt
Organism: Austrofundulus limnaeus
Lineage: Eukaryota; Metazoa; Chordata; Actinopteri; Cyprinodontiformes; Rivulidae
Exons: 5
Source: RefSeq, a predicted model, not a curated record